UAACCUUUAAUGGCUUUAUAAAUCUCGUAUUUUUCACCGUCUCAUGGGACCCUUCAGAAUCAUGUUCAUCGCUCGAAUAACCGGGAAAUUCAUCCCGUCACGUGCCUUGUUGGGAUUCUCCGCUCUGUGCUCAGGUAUUUCCGGCAAAUUCAGCAAUGUGCAGUCAAUUUUUGCUGAUAAUCAAAAACGACAAAUAUUUCCUUUAUAACGGAUUUCAGAUUUGAAUUCAGCAUAAAAAAAAAAAACUAUAAUAUAAGCAAAAGGUGCUUUGAAGAAUUUCCAUACACUUUAUAGUGGCACUAAGCAGGCCCAAAAAAUUUGGGGGGAGGGGGGUUAUGAUGCUCCCAAACCGUUUUAAGGUUAAUGUUAUGUUGCCUCUGUUGGAAGGAGGCUCUUUGGGGUCCUUCUGCGUGUUCAUCCAAUUCCAGGUUCACUCAAUAACUGGACUCCAGAGGUGUGAAAUGUGUGCGUGAGUGUGCGUGCGUGUGUGUGUCUGUGUGUGUGGUUACCCAAAUGUUCAAAAUGAAGUGAGGAAAAUAAGUAUUUCAACACACUGCUAUAUUGCAAGUUCUCCGACUUAGAAAUCAUGGAGGGGUCUGAAAUUUUCAUUAUAGGUGCAUGUCCACUGUAAGAGAGAUAAUCUACAAAGAAAAAUCCAGAAAUCACAAUGUAUGAAUUUUUAAUGAUUUAUUUGUGUAAUACAGCUGCAAAUAAGUAUUUGAACACCUGUCCAUCCGCUAGAAUUCUGACCCUCAAAGACCUGUUAGUCCGCCUUUAAAAGUCUACCUCCACUCCAUGUAUUAUCCUGAAUCAGAUGCACCUGUGUGAGGUCGUAAGCUGCAUAAAGACACCUGUCCACCCCAUACAUUCAGCAACACUCGAACUUGUAACGUGGCCAAGACCAAAGAGCUGUGCAAAGACACCAAAGACAAAAUUGUACAACUCCACAUGGCUGGAAAAGGGCUACGGAAAAUUGCCAAGCAGCUUGGUGAAAAAAGGUCCACUGUUGGAGCAAUCAUCAUAAAAUGGAAAAAGCUAAACACGAUGGUCAAUCUCAAUCGGAGUGGAGCUCCAUGCAAGAUAUCACCUCGUGGGGUCUCAAUGAUCCUUAGAAAGGUGAGGAAACAGCCCAGGACUACACGACAGGACUUGGUCAAUGACCUGAAAAGAACUGGGACCAACAUUUCCAAGGUGACUGACUCUUGGUUUGACCUCUGUAAUUGCAAACAAAGGCUACUGUACCAAAUAACAUUGGUUUUCUCAGAUGUUAAAAUACUUAUUUGCAGCUGUAUCACACAAAUAAAUCAUUAAAAAAAUCAUACUUUGUGAUUUCUGGAUUUUUCUUUUUAGAUUAUCUCUCACAGUGGACAUGCACCUACGAUGAAAAUUUCAGAUGCCUCCAUGAUUUCUAAGUGGUAGAACUUGCAAUAUAGCAGGGUGUUCAAAUACUUAUUUUCUUCACUGUACAUGACCAACUUGAACAAAGUGGUGUUUAUAAACUCAAGCAAGCUGUAUUUUCUUAUUUUAUUUCCUGAAAGGUUUUAAUUUUGAAGGUCAGGAUUCCACCUGACAGCUACAAUGCAUAAAAAUAUGAUGAAUUACUGCCACUUCAGAGAAUGGUACAUUAGUUUUCCCGCUGUUGAGUGAUACUUUGCGAGGACCUGACUCCACAAAUGUGUCUCUUUGUUGGCGGUGAGCUAAGCUAAACCGCACUAGCAGUCCUAAAACCCUUCGACGUGCACCUAGACACCAAGACUGAAGGAAGGAUGUUUGAGGACAUUGAAGUAGUGAUUGUCGUACUCGGUCGGGACUUACGUAGGUUCGGCACCAAUUCAAGAAUAAUUAUUGAGGGGAGCGCGUGACGUUACACAAAGAAAACAAGAGAAACAACUCAUAAAUUAAGCCUCGCCUUCUUUUCCUUCAUACGGUGGUUCACAAACGGCUAUACAGAUACAUAUACAGAUUCUGCACACAAGUGUGAUAGGUAACACGAAAAUAGGAAACUGUCAAUGUCGAAUUCGUCUUUGGGUUAUAAUAUAUUAUAUUAUGUGGCUUCUCGGUCUUGCUCUGACUCCGGAAAGAUCUCGCGCUAAUAUCAAUGGUUUCUCCGUCGAUAUGCAUGUAAAUACCAUUGAAAUACCCCUCGCUGAAAUACUUGAAUCCCUGCUGUCUGCUUUUGAACGACAUUUCACUGUUAGCUAAGAAUGCGAGUGAAAAAUCAGCUGGUAAAUCGGACAGUUUCGCUCUAGUCUUUUCUUCCUGCGCUGCCAUUUUUACUAAUUGUUUGUCUGAGGUUAGCACACGUGGGGUGACGUAACUUCAGGAGCCGUGGUUAAGUGCCCUGUACGGAGGGGUCAAUUGUUCAAAGGGAGCAGUUUAAAGUGAUCGAGUUGUGCGAUAGUCUACACUCUACAGAAUAUAAUACUGAUUCACCAGCAGGAUAUGAGGGUGUGUCUGAACAACGGGCAGAAAAUAGUAGUUCGCUGAUCAAUAAUUUAAAGGCUUAAUUGCCGGAAGGAAAAAACAGUUUGAAUCCUUGCUUUUUUUUUUUACUUUCAUUGAUAAGUAGCGCCUACCAAAAGGAAGGAGCUGGAAGAGCAGGUGGCCAGGAUGUGGAGGGUUCAAAAUGAUCCUGUCUGCUCUGGACCUAGUUUGAGUUGUGUCUUCAAUAGAGCUUGUGCACGUAAAGUCACAGUUUGCACGGUGCCAUAUUGCCGGUCAAACUUAGCUGCUCUGCACUCUGGGAGCCAUUGAACCAGAGCAGAUUUUUCAAAUUGCCCGAGACCUAUUGUGCUGUUGGUUGUCACAAUAGACGAGACAAUUCUUCAAAAAGAUAAUUCUUUGGAAUACCAGUUAAUAAGACAAGAAAAGAUUGAUGGAUUUCAGCAAUUAAUGGUGCCCAACCAAAUACACACGCCUGUGUAGCGAUCAUUUCAUUUCAGGUAGGAAUUAUUCUUCUCAAUCUCAAAUUAUCAAGAAGUAUAUAUCACACCAAAGUGACUCAUUUGAGAACAAUACAUAUUUAAAAAAAAACUGUCACAGAGGUUUACGGAGGUUAACGUGUGGGCACAAUACCCUUCCGUGUACGGAGGAGACGACUCCCUUUCCUAUUUUUUUUUCCCUAAUCAUAGUUAAUGAAUGCGAGUUUGUGUAAAACCAGUGCUCAUUCAUCUAAAUAUUGGUGUUUGUAUUGAAAAAAUCGGAGUGAGUCCAUCACGAUGUGGGAUUCAUUCCUGAUUGAGAACAGAUCCAGCAACGAAGUAUUUGUAUGUAUUUGUACGCUUUUGAACUUUUCUGUGUAAAUCUCAAUGAUUUACUCACCAGAUACCUGUGUAGAUCCAGUUGUCUAAGACAAGCAGAAGCGAAUUAACAGUCCAAUUUCUUAUCGGCGAAAACGUCGACUUCAGCAUUAAAUAUGGGUCCUCUAUGCCAAGUGUCUCCAAUUUUUCCAUGUACCUUUGUUUAUUAUCACCUUCUAAAUAUUGAACGGUAUCGGACAAAACUCUAGGUGUCACGCUGUAAGACAUAUUUUCAUUACGAAAUUAACUGGCAACAAUGCUUUGUUUGACCGGCAAUAUGGCGAGUCACAUGACUUUAUGAUGUAGGUCCACGAGCUCUUUAGUGGGUAAAGUGGUGCCGACAAUCCAUUCAGUGGUUUUGAUUGUCUGUUGCAGUAAGAGUUUGUCCUUUUUUGUGGCAGCCCAGAACCAGACUGUGAUGGAGGUAUUCAGUACUGAUUGGAUGACCGCUGUGUAAAACUAUCUCAGCAGCUUUUAUGACAGGCCCUGCUUCCUCAGAUCCCACAAGAAGUAUAUCCUUUGCUGGGCUUUUUUUUUCCGAGUUGAUGUUCGUCUCCCACUUCAGGUCCCGUGAAACUGUAAUUCCCAAGAACUUGAAGGUCUCGGCGGUUGACACGAGACAAUUGGGAAGAAUUAGGGGCAGAUGUGGUGAACGAUGCCUCCUGAAGUCUACAAUCAUCUCUAUAGUCUUAAGAGUGUUCAAUGUCAGGUUGUAUUGGCCACACCAAGGCUCCAGUCUUGCCACUUCUGUCGAUAUGCAGACUCGUUGCCAUCUUUGAAGAGGCCGAUGACUGUCAUGUCAUUUGCGAACGCCAGGAGUUUGACAGUCAGGUGCCUCGAAGUGCAGUCGUUUGUGUAGAGCGAGAAGAUCAGAGGGGAGAGGACACAGCCUUGGGGUGCCCCGGUGCUGAUGUGGCACAUGGUGUUUGGACAUUAAUACCAUGAACAGUUUAUUAUUAUUUUUGGCCCACCCAAUACACAACACACACAUUUUUUAAAAAUACUUGAUCCCUCAAAUUUAACUACUGGACAUGUAUCACAUUUGCUUCGUUUAAGUGUGUUUGUUCUUAUAGUAACAGCAAUUCGCCAGCGGAGGGUGCUGUAUUGCAGCCGCCGGCCAAUGCCACCUAGCUCAUUCACAGAAGAAGCUGCAGUACAUUGAAACGUAUUGCGUGUGGGAACUGUUAGUGGAUGCUAUUUAUGUGCUGUGAGCUAAAUGUGUAUUCUGUGCUGUUUCCAGGUGUUCUUGUGACAUGUGCCAGCCCAUGUUGACAUUGGCCCAGUGUGUGCUAUCAGGAACAGGAAAAGGUGUGCUGCAAAAACGAAAAGGAUCCAACAGCCACCUGUGUCACCCACCACCUAUGUUUCAAGGCUGUUUGCUCAAACGAGGAUGUCCUGGAGACAGUCUACAGUGCCUGCAGGCAACAGUACCAACAUGACAUCGGCAAUGAAAUGGAAACGGUACAGAGCAUACAAUUUGUGAGACAGUUCUAUGGAUUUCUCGGCUGACAUAUGGGUGUCCCACUUCAUUCAUGUGCUGUUUAUAAGAUUAGAGGGAAGUUUUUCCCACCAGACAAUUUGGGAUUUCAUGAGAGUGAUGAUGGAAACUAA
This is a long non-coding RNA of Syngnathoides biaculeatus (alligator pipefish), 4910 nucleotides long. RefSeq lists it as uncharacterized. The transcript is spliced from 3 exons. NCBI's taxonomy places the organism in Eukaryota, Metazoa, Chordata, Actinopteri, Syngnathiformes, Syngnathidae. The record is from RefSeq and is a predicted model, not a curated record.